This is a non-coding RNA of Globicephala melas (long-finned pilot whale), 3193 nucleotides long. Lineage: Eukaryota; Metazoa; Chordata; Mammalia; Artiodactyla; Delphinidae. The record is from RefSeq and is a predicted model, not a curated record.
UGCCAGUGCGGGAGAUCGGGGAUGAUCAGCGGGCACUGAAAAACAACUCUUGCUUUUCCAAGGGGUUUCACACAAAUUUGCCCCCCCUCGGAGCGGGUAGCGACAAGAUCAGAGAUGCGGAGCCUUCCGGGCGCCGCUGGGUGGGGCGGGCGUGCGCGCGCGCCCAUCUUGGCUAGCACCGCGCCUUCCUGAGUCGCGCUUUCCGGACGCGGUCUCAGAUUUGGGAGGUUGGGACCUGGAGCGAAACCCCAAACCCUCCCUGCGCGCUAGUCGCGACCUUAGCAUAUUCUAAUUCCAUUCUGCCUUUUACAGAGGAGGGGAGGAAGGCCAUCCCAAGCCUCCUGGAGGCUUUACCUGGUGAAGAAGACGAGCAGCCACUGCAGCGCGGUGGAGAGAGUAUCCUGGCUGGCGCCGAAGAUGUCUGUGACGGUGGCCGGCACGUACUCUUCGUCCAGCCGCGCGCCGCCGUCGCCAGAGCCCGCGGCAGCUUCCUUUCCUGCUGAGAGCAUGAAGGCGUCCAUCAUGUCGCGGGGAGCGGCCCCGGGCCGAAGGCUUUCACGGUGCCUCAGGAACUUGUCUAGGACGAAGCUGCUGAAGUUGCGAUUGAGCGUCUCGAAUUCACGGAAGGCAGUGCGCACAGGGUUGGGGAAGCGCUGCAGCCAGGGCAGCACGUCCACCAGGCUGCCCGCGCCCACCGUGCGCCCGAACUCCUCGUUGUGGCUGAGCAGCUCUCGGAACUCGGCGUCGUCGUGGCUGUAGCGGCAGCCGAAGCACACGGCGCUCAUGACGUUGGCCACGGCCACCACGGUCAGCGGCCGCGGGUCGAGAAAGGCGCCGCCCGCGCUGCCGCGCACCAGCAGCUCCACCAACUCCCGCGCCUCGCCCAGCACGUGGCCCUCGAGCACCCGGCGGCCGCGCGGCUGGCGCGUGGAGAAGGCUCGCAUCGUGCUGUACGCCGCGCGCCGCUGCGCCUUCCAGCUCUCCGAAUACUGGCCGAAAGCCAGGCUGCGGCCACCAGACACCACGCGGAAAGAGGCGAAGGGCGGCCGGUCGGCGAACGCGGCGCCCUGCUGCACCAGGGCCUGGCGGAUGGCGCGCUCGCCGUUCAGCACCACCACCGGGCAGCUGCCCAGGCGGAUCUGGAAGACGUCGCCGUAGCGCCGCGCCAGGCGUGCGAACGAGACGUGAGGCGCCGGGCCCAUUGACGCCGCAUUUCCGAUCAGCGGCCAAGCGAAGGGACCCGGGGGCGCGGACCCCGGCUGCCGCCGCCGCUGCCUCAACAGCCACUGGCCCACGUGCACCGCGGCCAGUACCGAGAGCAGCAACAGGAGCAUGGUCUGCUGGGCCGACAGAGGGAUAGGCGGCAGAUGAUCGUCCGGGCUGAGGCUGGUGGCCAUGCUGGGGAGAGAAGGGCGAAGGCGUGACACUCAGGCAAGAACAUUGCAGGACUUCCCCGGUGGCGCAGUGGUUAAGAAUCUGCCUGCCAAUGCAGGGGCACGGGUUCAAGCCCUGGUCCGGGAAGAUCCCACAUGCCGCGGAGCAACUAAGCCCGUGCGCCACAACAACUGAGCCUGCGCUCCAGAGCCCGCGAGCCACAACUACUGAGCCCGCAUGCCACAACUACUGAAGCCCGCGUGCCUAGAGCCCGUGCUCUGCAACAAGAGAAGCCACAGCAAUGAGAAGCCCGCACACCGCAACGAAGAGUAGCCCCUGCUCACCGCAACUAGAGAAAGCUCGCGCGCAGCAACGAAGACCCAACGCAGCCAACAAUUUUACUUACACUUCCCUACAGAGACCAUCCCAACUGGAGCAAUCCACAUAGGCGUGGAAGAAUUAAAAAUCUAGACCCUUUCAUCAGGACUGCCUUUCCCAAGGGUUUCUGUCCCUGACAAAUGAAAUUCUCUUCCCAGCUGAGAGUUACGGACAAAUCAAGGAAGAUGGGUCUGUGGUUCAUCUUACGGCUCCCCCUUCAACAAAUCCAACUUGCUUCACAAGAGUCAGCUGGGAAUGGCCUCCAAAGAAAACAACCAGUUGGAUUAUAUGAAUUCAUGACUGUCAGAGCAAUAAAGCCUUGCUCUUUCCCCUUCUCCUUCAAAAGUUUAGCAAGGACACGCUUUCCCCACAUAGCCUGCAUAGCCUCGUAACAGCUGUCCCAGAGGAUGGAUUGCACAUGGAUUACAACGAAUCGGGGUCAAGAAGAGAUUGCCUACAGUUUUGCCCAGAGCUCUUCUUGGGCUGAGAAAGUGUGUGCGCCCUCAGAUAUUUUCCUACCCCCUAUGGUACUAGUUCCUACCUUCUAUGCAUUUCUGUCAUUGAACAACUAAGAAGCUAUUAAUUUGAUUUCUUCUAAGGACUGAAGGAGCUCCUUAGUCCCUCAAAAUACAACAGAGGAAAAAUCUGUUCAGCCUAAAUUUAAAAUCCAAACAUUUGAAGUGAUCAUCAUGUCCACAUGCUAUGUAAUACAACUUUCUUUUAAAAAGAAAAUCCUGGUGAUUGUACUAUUUUAUGUAGAAUGCUGUUCAGUCUAGAGCCAUUUCAAACUCUCAAAACUUUAUACAUGCAACGAAAGCAAACUGAAAGUGAAAGUCACUCAGUUUACUCUUAUUUCUAAGAUUAGUUUCAACCUCCCUGGUUUUCAACACUCAUGCCAGUGUCCAGACUUGCAGCCACAGCAAGGGAUUUCCUCAGCCACAUAGAGAACCUGGAAUAAAUUACUCUGGAGGAAUGGGUGCUAUUUCUAAGUUUGUGGUCGGCUUCACUGUAUUUAAAGUAAAGGUUAUUAGACACUAAUGCUGCACAGAUUUCCUAAAUACUUUGUAUUGCCAAUGCCAGAGCCAGAUGUGAACCAUAUCAGGAGAGACAUGCAUGACAGCGUUUUCCUAAAUGCCCGUGAUGAAUUAUAAUUUGCAAAGGGGAAAAUUGCAGCUGUGUGGUGCCAGGGUAAUUUCCUCCAAAUACCACUCCCAUCAGGUCAUUUUCUCAUCAGGGAGAGCUAGGGCUCUCUUUUGUGUGAAAUCUAAAGGCUGGUAUUAAAGACCUCAGUCAUCUGCCUGCCCUACCUUGAGACCAGCCAAAAGGAUCCCUACACCCCAGGACGACCUCUUUAUUCUCCUCCUAUAUACUUUGCUUGGGUGGCUCCCUCUGGAAUCCAUAGCUCCAAUGUCCAUCAAAACCUGGCUCAAACCUCAUUAAU